UGGGGAAUAUUGGACAAUGGAGGAAACUCUGAUCCAGGGAUACCGCGUGGAUGAUGAAGGUUUACGAACUGUAAAGUCCUUUUAAUAGGGAAAAUAAUGAUGGUACCUAUAGAAAAAGUAUCGGCUAACUCUGUGCCAGCAGCUGCGGUAAGACAGAGGAUACAAGUGUUGUUCGGAAUUACUGGGUGUAAAGGGCGCGUAGGCUGUGUUAUAAGUUAAUGAUGAAAUACCAAGGCUCAACCUUGGGGCUAUUGUUAAUACUGUAAUACUUGAGAGCGGGAGAGGUAAAUGGAAUUUCUAGUGGAGAGGUCAAAUUCGUAGAUAUUAGAAGGAACACCAGAGGCGAAAGCGGUUUACUAGAACGUUUCUGACGCUAAGGCGCGAAAGCGUGGGGAUCAAAUAGG
RNAcentral lists this ribosomal RNA (404 nucleotides) under uncultured bacterium. Its description in RNAcentral is "bacterial SSU rRNA". It matches the Rfam family "Bacterial small subunit ribosomal RNA", at positions 355 to 776 of the family's 1533-position model. The record is from RNAcentral.